GACGAACGCUGGCGGCGUGCCUAACACAUGCAAGUCGAACGGAAAGGCCCUGCUUUUGUGGGGUGCUCGAGUGGCGAACGGGUGAGUAACACGUGAGUAACCUGCCCUUGACUUUGGGAUAACUUCAGGAAACUGGGGCUAAUACCGGCUAGGAGCUCCUGCUGCAUGGUGGGGGUUGGAAAGUUUCGGCGGUUGGGGAUGGACUCGCGGCUUAUCAGCUUGUUGGUGGGGUAGUGGCUUACCAAGGCUUUGACGGGUAGCCGGCCUGAGAGGGUGACCGGGCACAUUGGGACUGAGGUACGGCCCAGACUCCUACAGUGGACAACAGUCGGGAAUAUUGCACAAUGGGCCGAAGCCUGAUGCAGCAACGCCGCGAUCGGAAUGACGGCCUUCGGGUUGUAAACCGCUUUCACCUGUGACGAAGCGUGAGUGACGGUAAUGAGUAAAGAAGCACCGGCUAACUACGUG
This 468-nucleotide ribosomal RNA is filed under the name uncultured bacterium. RNAcentral describes it as "partial 16S ribosomal RNA". It matches the Rfam family "Bacterial small subunit ribosomal RNA", at positions 28 to 507 of the family's 1533-position model. The record is from RNAcentral.